Molecule: ribosomal RNA, 466 nt
Filed under: uncultured bacterium
Lineage: Bacteria
Description: partial 16S ribosomal RNA
Rfam family: Bacterial small subunit ribosomal RNA
Source: RNAcentral
UAUGCACGCUGGCGGCGUGCUUAACACAUGCAAGUCGAACGAUGAAGCCCAGCUUGCUGGGUGGAUUAGUGGCGAACGGGUGAGUAACACGUGAGUAACCUGCCCUUGACUCUGGGAUAAGCCUGGGAAACUGGGUCUAAUACUGGAUAUGACUUCUCAUCGCAUGGUGGGGGGUGGAAAGAUUUAUUGGUCUUGGAUGGACUCGCGGCCUAUCAGCUUGUUGGUGAGGUAAUGGCUCACCAAGGCGACGACGGGUAGCCGGCCUGAGAGGGUGACCGGCCACACUGGGACUGAGACACGGCCCAGACUCCUACGGGAGGCAGCAGUGGGGAAUAUUGCACAAUGGGCGCAAGCCUGAUGCAGUGACGCCGCGUGAGGUAUGACGGCCUUCGGUUUGUAAUCCUCUUUCAGUAGGGAAGAAGCGAGAGUGACGGUACCUGCAGAAGAAGCGCCGGCUAACUACGUG